GGCGGCGCUUCUCUGGACGGCGGCGGUGGUCGGCGCCGGCCUCCUCUACUGGUUCCUUUGGGUGAUGGGAGCCGCCGAGGUACAGGGCAAGCGCGCCGUCAACCUCAAGAUGGGAUCCAUCAAGGAUGAUAACAUCCAGGAUAAGUACCGCCAGUACUGGUCCUUCUUCCGCCGCCCCAAGGAGGCCGCCGCCGCCGGCACAUCGGAAAAGGUCCCCGCCUUCGUCGACACCUUCUACAACCUCGUCACCGACAUCUACGAGUGGGGAUGGGGUCAGUCCUUCCACUUCUCCCCCUCCAUCCCCUCCCUCUCUCACCGCGACGCGACACGCGUCCACGAGGAGCGCGUCGCGGCGUUCAUCGCCGCGAAACCCGGCCAGAAGAUCCUCGACGUCGGCUGCGGCGUCGGCGGCCCGAUGCGGGCCAUAGCCGCCAAAUCUGGCGCCAACGUAGUCGGGAUCACGAUCAACGAGUAUCAAGUCGGCAGGGCUAGAUCUCACAACAAGAAAGCUGGACUGGAUCGGAUCUGCGAGGUCGUCUGCGGCAAUUUCCUCCAGAUGCCGUUCUCCGACAACAGCUUCGACGGUGUUUACUCCAUCGAAGCCACCUGCCACGCCCCGAAGCUGCACGAGGUCUACGCGGAGAUUUUCCGUGUGCUCAAGCCUGGAUCUCUGUAUGUGUCUUAUGAGUGGGUGACGACGCCGCUGUACAAGGCUGAAGAUUCAGAGCAUGUGGAGGUGAUUCAGGGAAUCGAGCGGGGUGAUGCGCUCCCCGGGCUGCGGUCGUAUAAUGAGAUUGCUGGAGUUGCGAAGAGCGUGGGGUUUGAGGUGCUGCAGGAGGAGGAUCUGGCGCUGCCGCCGGCGGGGCCGUGGUGGACGAGGCUGAAGAUGGGGCGGAUUGCGUACUGGAGGAAUCACCUGCUGGUGACGGUGCUGUCGGCGCUGCGGGUGGCGCCGAAGGGGGUGGUGGAGGUGCACGAGAUGCUGUACGAGACUGCUCACCACCUAACCCGUGGCGGCGAGACCGGAAUUUUCACGCCGAUGCAUAUGAUUCUCUGCCGGAAGCCGGUGGCUGCCGCAGCUGAGGAGUAGGAGCUACAUUCACAAGGUAGAUUUGCAGUAGAAUUCAUUCAAACUGAGUACUCGGAUUAAUUUACCGUCUCUUGUUUUAAUUGUGUUUAUUUAUGUGGUA
RNAcentral lists this unclassified non-coding RNA (1190 nucleotides) under Hevea brasiliensis (rubber tree). The record is from RNAcentral. Lineage: Eukaryota; Viridiplantae; Streptophyta; Magnoliopsida; Malpighiales; Euphorbiaceae.